AUGCCACCAGCGCCAACAGCACCCCCACCGCCGACCCCGGCAGCGCCAGGGGCCCCGGCGCGCUCAUGCCCACCACCCCGACGCCCACCUCCGCCGGCCUCCGCCUCUCCAAGUCCGGCAGCAAGUCCUUCAAGGUACCACCACCACCACUUCCACCACCACCAAACUACGUUGUACACCUGUGACGUUCUUGUGCUUCCAAUGAUGCGCGCAAGUAGCUUUCUUCCAUUCUUUUGA
RNAcentral lists this ribosomal RNA (237 nucleotides) under Triticum aestivum (bread wheat). Its description in RNAcentral is "partial small subunit ribosomal RNA". The record is from RNAcentral. Lineage: Eukaryota; Viridiplantae; Streptophyta; Magnoliopsida; Poales; Poaceae.